UGCCCCUCCACGACUUGGUUUGGUUUCUGCCUCUGCAAUCCGCAUUCGGUUACUGGCGGAUUUGCUCGCUGCCUGGCGCCGUACCAAUCCAAUCCUUGGGUGCACCGGUGGUUCGGUUGGAUUUCUGUAUGAGCGCGCGAGAUCGGCGGCCUGCCGAGGUGCGGGCGCGGUUUAUUUUCCCCGUAAUUCUCGGGUGUCUGCUGGCCCCCAGUGCUUCAUUGGGUGGACUCGAGCCUCGCGUUAGGACAGUCAGCUGGGUUUGUGUGAUUUGGCGGGCAAUGCGGAAGCAAGUCAACCCGCCCGGGGCCCUGUUUUUGAGAAUGUAAAGCGCGGGUAGUGGCUGAUCAAAAUCUCUCGGGUUUCGGGCAAAUUACUGUUGAUGUCAUGGGUUGCUGAUCAUUAGCCUAAGGAAACGAUCAUCGGCCUAAGGAGUAGAACACUAAUACUACGAUUGCUACAUUGUUUUCCCCCAACUUCUUUCUGGAAAUGGCUUCUGCCAUAUUGGUUUCGUGCAUGGGUUGUCCAGGAAUGCAGGAACCUCACACUGUUCUAUUGGUGUUCUGCUGGAACAAAUCAUCGGUCCGUCCAGUGACAUUAUUGGCUUUUUCCAGGAUCUUCACAUCCACUAGGUGGUGGCUUGCCUGAACUGUCCAGAUCCAGGACAUUCUGUUCCGAUUUUAAGGGCAGAUGUGCUACAGUAAUUCACAUUAUGACAGCAUCAGCCUCUCUUUAUAGAUUUCUCAUUCUCUUUUGUCCUGUUGUACUCUUUGUAUUCUGAUCGACCCUUGAUUGAAAGAGGAUUUGCUUAAACCAAAUUUGCUCAAGAGUCAAAUACUGUAUCAACGUAUCAAUGGUUGCUUAAAGUACAUAGAUCAUCUCUGGUGCCUGGUGGAUAUCAAUGGGCUGUUGUACGUUUGUCAAGUGCUAGAAGAGCAACUGUAUUUAUAGAGUUGAUUCACAAUGGCUUAUGAUGGUGAUGAAGAACAGAGCCAAGAUUAUCUAUUCAAAAUCGUUUUGCUCGGUGACUCCUCUGUUGGUAAAUCAAAUUUACUAGCAAGAUUUGCAAGGAAUGAGUUCUACCCAAACUCCAAGUCCACUAUAGGAGUGGAGUUCCAGACGCAAAAGUUGGUAAUUGAUGGAAAGGAAAUUAAAGCUCAGAUAUGGGACACUGCUGGACAAGAGCGCUUCAGAGCAGUUACAUCUGCUUACUACCGUGGCGCUGUUGGAGCACUCCUUGUUUAUGAUAUUAGCAGGCGCCAGACUUUUGAUAGCGUUGGUCGAUGGCUUAAUGAACUGCAUACUCAUUCCGAUAUGAAUGUCGUCACAAUUCUGGUGGGCAAUAAAACCGAUCUUAAGCAUGCUCGUGAGGUGAGCACUGCAGAAGGCCAAGCCCUGGCUGAGGCUCAGGGUCUCUUCUUCAUGGAAACCUCAGCCCUAGACUCGUCAAAUGUUGCAGCAGCUUUUCAAACUGUUGUUAAGGAGAUCUACAGCAUACUAAGCCGGAAGGUAUUUCAAUCUCAAGAGCAGAAGAGAAGCGAGCUGCAGUCACUAAGCAACGGGAAGGCUGUGGUGCUGCAGGGCGAGACCAAUGAAACAAGCAAUGGUGGGAGGUGGUGCUGUUCCUCAUAACCUGUCAGCCCGUGUCGAAUGCUUAGGAUUGGGAGACACAUCUGGGUAUGUAAGGUUGGGCUUGUGAAAAGUUGUUUUUCCAUGUUCUUGUUCUAAAGAUGAGGUGGCGAGGCUGUUUGUAUGAAAGUUGUAUUUUCCUUCGGAGGAAAUCAAUGUAUAGUUCGAUUGAUCCUUGGGGAGGUAUUGAUAUACAUGAUUGUGUAAAGAGAAAGUGCGACCAACUGACUGUUGUGUCAUUCUACAUUCUAGUCUUAGAAAGAAACCGUUAUUUCA
Molecule: RNA transcript, 1902 nt
Organism: Panicum virgatum (switchgrass)
Lineage: Eukaryota; Viridiplantae; Streptophyta; Magnoliopsida; Poales; Poaceae
Gene name: ras-related protein RABA5a-like
Exons: 5
Source: RefSeq, a predicted model, not a curated record